Molecule: long non-coding RNA, 716 nt
Organism: Balaenoptera ricei (Rice's whale)
Lineage: Eukaryota; Metazoa; Chordata; Mammalia; Artiodactyla; Balaenopteridae
Exons: 3
Source: RefSeq, a predicted model, not a curated record
UGUAGCCAGGUGAUCAAGGAGCUUGGACUUCGUCCCAAGGACAACGUGGCGCCCAAGGAGCGUUUGCUGCUGGAUGAGACCUGCUCAGAUGAGGCUUUCAGAGAGCUCCGGGUGCCAAAGGGCAUGGAAGGAAGAAGAACAGGACUGGGGGGUGGGGAAUGGUCAGGUGUCCAAUCCUAGUCCUGGAAUGGAAGAGGACCCUGACUUCCUCCAAGGUGAGGAAGAGAGAAGGCAAAGACGGAGCCCAGUGGUCACCUGGCCUCCCUACUGUCACUGGGAAACAGGUGAACAGGCCGGGAGAGCAGGUGUGCAGGGGUCAGCUGUUGAGAGUUUGAUGCAGAAGGAUGGAGAGACCUGGGGACACUCAGGGGACAUGGGUUCGAGCCCUGGUCCGGGAAGAUCCCACAUGCCACGGAGCAACUAAGCCUGUGCGCCACAACUACUGAGCCUGCGCUCUAGAGCCCGCGAGCCACAACCACUGAGCCUGCGUGCCACAACUACUGAAGCCCGUGCGCCUAGAGCCCAUGCUCCGCAACAAGAGAAGCCUCUGCAAUAGGAAGCCCGUGCACGACAACAAAGAAUAGCCCCUGCUCACCGCAACUAGAGAAAGCCCGCGAGCAGCGACGAAGACCCAACGCAGCCAAAAAAUAAAUAAAUCAAUAAAAAAUAAAUAAAUUUAUAAAAAAAAAAGUUCAGGAAGUGGAUGGUGAUGAUGG